RNAcentral lists this non-coding RNA (226 nucleotides) under Thermophagus xiamenensis. Lineage: Bacteria; Pseudomonadati; Bacteroidota; Bacteroidia; Marinilabiliales; Marinilabiliaceae. The record is from RNAcentral.
AUUUGUCGACAUAAAACUGGUUCAUUGCUCUCGUAUUUACUUCCGAGAGAAUGAUUAAAAGGGAAUCCGGUUAAAGUCCGGAGCUGUCCCCGCAGCUGUAAGCUCUUUAAAAGGUUUGAACAAUACCCCCUGCCACUGAAAACUGUGAUUAAUCAUAACCACAGCUUUUGGGAAGGCGGUUCAAACCGGAGCAAGCCAGAAGACCUGCCAGUAAAUCUAAAUUCGU